Molecule: transfer RNA, 89 nt
Filed under: Ganoderma leucocontextum
Lineage: Eukaryota; Fungi; Basidiomycota; Agaricomycetes; Polyporales; Polyporaceae
Description: tRNA-Tyr
Rfam family: tRNA
About the family: Transfer RNA (tRNA) molecules are approximately 80 nucleotides in length. Their secondary structure includes four short double-helical elements and three loops (D, anti-codon, and T loops).
Source: RNAcentral
CCUUCGAUAGCUCAGUUGGAAGAGCGUGAGACUGUAAUUGGAUGCCUGGGGUAAUCUCAAGGUCACUGGUUCGAUCCCGGUUCGAAGGA